GCUCCCUUAGCUCAGCUGGAUAGAGCAACGGCCUUCUAAGCCGUCGGUCGCAGGUUCGAAUCCUGCAGGGGGCGCCA
This 77-nucleotide transfer RNA is filed under the name Escherichia fergusonii. Its description in RNAcentral is "tRNA-Arg(tct)". It matches the Rfam family "tRNA". From Rfam's summary of the family: Transfer RNA (tRNA) molecules are approximately 80 nucleotides in length. Their secondary structure includes four short double-helical elements and three loops (D, anti-codon, and T loops). Lineage: Bacteria; Pseudomonadati; Pseudomonadota; Gammaproteobacteria; Enterobacterales; Enterobacteriaceae. RNAcentral also lists the same sequence under 5 other names. The record is from RNAcentral.